AUAGUGACAAAAGAGCGAAUUAAAGAUGGGUGAUGUUGAAAAAGGCAAGAAGAUUUUUGUUCAGAAGUGUGCCCAGUGCCACACAGUGGAAAAGGGAGGCAAGCACAAGACUGGGCCAAAUCUCCAUGGUCUGUUUGGGCACAAGACAGGUCAGGCCCCUGGGUUUUCUUACACAGAUGCCAACAAGAACAAAGGUAUCACCUGGGGAGAGGAUACACUGAUGGAGUAUUUGGAGAAUCCCAAAAAGUACAUCCCUGUAACAAAAAUGAUCUUUGCUGGCAUUAAGAAGAAGGGAGAAAGGGCAGACUUGAUAGCUUAUCUCAAAAAGGCUACCAAUGAGUAAUACCCACUGCCUUAUUUAUUACAAAACAGAAAUGUCACAUGGCUUUUUAUGUGUACCAUA
This is a non-coding RNA of Castor canadensis (American beaver), 403 nucleotides long. NCBI's taxonomy places the organism in Eukaryota, Metazoa, Chordata, Mammalia, Rodentia, Castoridae. The record is from RefSeq and is a predicted model, not a curated record.